AUGCUCACUUGAGCAGCACAUGUACCAAAACUGAAAUGAUACAGAAAAGAUUGUCAUGGCCCCUUUGCAGAGGUGACGCAUACAUUUGUGAUGCAUCCCAUAUUUUU
This is a small nuclear RNA of Acomys russatus (golden spiny mouse), 107 nucleotides long. The record is from RefSeq and is a predicted model, not a curated record. Lineage: Eukaryota; Metazoa; Chordata; Mammalia; Rodentia; Muridae.